UUAUAAUUAGGGGAGUAUAAAAGGAAAAGAAGAAGGGAAAAAUCAGAAAAAAAAAAAACUUCAGAAAAACCGUAAUCCUCUCUCCCCUUCUCAGCCGUCAUCUUCUCUCUCUCUCAAACUCUCUCUCUCGCUGUUCUUCUUCUCUCGGAAUUUCUCUCUCCAUCUCUCUCUUUCACGGGUGUCUCGUCGAGAGUCGUGUGUGGUGGUGCGCGUUGUGCGAGUCGUGCUCGAGUGAGUGCGAGUUCGAGUGCUGCGUCGUCGUGUGGUUGAGUGCAACGAUGAGGGUCGAUCGAGGGGUGCGAAGACUGUGCGGGUUACGAGAGAACUGGUGCGAGGGUGGUGCGCGUGCGCUGUGCGAAGUCGCGAGUGGUUUUGUGCGAGCCAUCUUUGUGUGUGAGACGAGCGAGGGACGCGGGUGGUGCGAGCGAGUGCGACGUGGAUUUGUGCGUGGGUGUUCGAGAGGGUUUGCGACGAGAUCGUCGAGCGGUGUGCGAGAAGGUUUGUGCGAGGGCGAGACCUCGUGUGUGGCUAUGUGGCGAGGGCUAUCGGAAUUUUCGUUCAUUGCCGGAUUUUGACGCCGGCGAGUUUAGCGACUAGGUGUGCUGGUGCUGCUGCAUGAUAUCAAGCAUACGAGGGCUAGUCUUUAGUUUUUGAAUUUAAGCAUUUUGAAUUAAGUACUAUUGGAUUUUCUAGGACUUACAUAAAUGGUUUGUGGUUUGAAUAAAAGGGGUCGUCGAUGAUUCCCGAGUUGUAUUUACAUUUUUUAUUCCUCUGCAUUUUAGUUUUUGAGACAAUAAUUUGAGUUA
Long non-coding RNA from Beta vulgaris subsp. vulgaris (sugar beet), 806 nucleotides. RefSeq lists it as uncharacterized. The record is from RefSeq and is a predicted model, not a curated record. Lineage: Eukaryota; Viridiplantae; Streptophyta; Magnoliopsida; Caryophyllales; Amaranthaceae. The transcript has 2 exons.